GAGGGUGCAGCUCAGUCGUACAGCAUGUGCUUAGCAUGCACAAGGUCCUGGGUUCAAUCCCCAGUACCUUCA
RNAcentral lists this transfer RNA (72 nucleotides) under Camelus bactrianus (Bactrian camel). It matches the Rfam family "tRNA". Rfam says of the family: Transfer RNA (tRNA) molecules are approximately 80 nucleotides in length. Their secondary structure includes four short double-helical elements and three loops (D, anti-codon, and T loops). RNAcentral also lists the same sequence under 2 other names. The record is from Rfam by way of RNAcentral. Lineage: Eukaryota; Metazoa; Chordata; Mammalia; Artiodactyla; Camelidae.